This 445-nucleotide ribosomal RNA is filed under the name uncultured bacterium. RNAcentral describes it as "bacterial SSU rRNA". It matches the Rfam family "Bacterial small subunit ribosomal RNA", at positions 330 to 792 of the family's 1533-position model. The record is from RNAcentral.
CCCAGACUCCUACGGGAGGCAGCAGUGGGGAAUAUUGCGCAAUGGGGGAAACCCUGAUGCAGCAACGCCGCGUGAGUGAAGAAGUAUUUCGGUAUGUAAAGCUCUAUCAGCAGGGAAGAAAAUGACGGUACCUGAUUAAGAAGCCCCGGCUAACUACGUGCCAGCAGCCGCGGUAAUACGUAGGGGGCAAGCGUUAUCCGGAUUUACUGGGUGUAAAGGGGGCGCAGACGGCAAUGCAAGCCAGGAGUGAAAGCCCGGGGCCCAACCCCGGGACUGCUCUUGGAACUGCAUGGCUGGAGUACAGGAGGGGCAGGCGGAAUUCCUAGUGUAGCGGUGAAAUGCGUAGAUAUUAGGAGGAACACCGGUGGCGAAGGCGGCCUGCUGGACGACAACUGACGCUGAGGCUCGAAAGCGUGGGGAGCAAACAGGAUUAGAUACCCCGGUA